AUUGAACGCUGGCGGCAUGCUUUACACAUGCAAGUCGAACGGCAGCGCGGGCUUCGGCCUGGCGGCGAGUGGCGAACGGGUGAGUAAUACAUCGGAACGUGCCCAGUAGUUGGGGAUAGCUCGGCGAAAGCCGGCUUAAUACCGCAUACGACCUGAGGUUGAAAGCGGGGGAUCUUCGGACCUCGCGCUAUUUGAGCGGCCGAUGGCAGAUUAGCUAGUUGGUGGGGUAAAGGCCUACCAAGGCGACGAUCUGUAGCUGGUCUGAGAGGACGACCAGCCACACUGGGACUGAGACACGGCCCAGACUCCUACGGGAGGCAGCAGUGGGGAAUUUUGGACAAUGGGCGAAAGCCUGAUCCAGCAAUGCCGCGUGUGUGAUGAAGGCCUUCGGGUUGUAAAGCACUUUUGGCGGGAACGAAAAGGACUGUGCCAAUACCACGGUUCGAUGACGGUACCCGCAGAAUAAGCACCGGCUAACUACGUG
This 484-nucleotide ribosomal RNA is filed under the name uncultured bacterium. RNAcentral describes it as "partial 16S ribosomal RNA". It matches the Rfam family "Bacterial small subunit ribosomal RNA", at positions 30 to 507 of the family's 1533-position model. The record is from RNAcentral.